UGGAUACAUUCUCAUCAUUUCACAAUUGAUUUGGCAAAGUGUACAAAAAUUGGUCACAUGUCACAAACCCUAGCAACAUUUAAAAACCACUCAUCCAAAAAUUCUGGAAAAAUAAUGAUAAAAAAGUAGAGAUCAUGAUGAACACAACACAAAAAAUCCCAUUCAAUUUGGACCAAAAAUGAGCAAGUUAUGAAUUUUAGAAGAUUGAUGAAAUAAUUGAAGAAAUAAGAUGAAAUGAUAAAACAAGAAUGGCAUAAUUGUAAUAUUUGAAACCACUAAUUAAAACGCGGUCGUUUAGGGCCAGGAUUUGAAAUGUUUCUAUUGGUCAAUGAGUGGAAAGGCCAUGCACGUG
RNAcentral lists this long non-coding RNA (352 nucleotides) under Lathyrus oleraceus (garden pea). Its description in RNAcentral is "Pisum sativum (pea) long non-coding RNA (PSAT_LNC016533)". Lineage: Eukaryota; Viridiplantae; Streptophyta; Magnoliopsida; Fabales; Fabaceae. The record is from RNAcentral.